Molecule: ribosomal RNA, 468 nt
Filed under: uncultured bacterium
Lineage: Bacteria
Description: partial 16S ribosomal RNA
Rfam family: Bacterial small subunit ribosomal RNA
Source: RNAcentral
GACGAACGCUGGCGGCGUGCUUAACACAUGCAAGUCGAACGGAAAGGCCCUGCUUUUGUGGGGUGCUCGAGUGGCGAACGGGUGAGUAACACGUGAGUAACCUGCCCUUGACUUUGGGAUAACUUCAGGAAACUGGGGCUAAUACCGGAUAGGAGCUCCUGCUGCAUGGUGGGGGUUGGAAAGUUUCGGCGGUUGGGGAUGGACUCGCGGCUUAUCAGCUUGUUGGUGGGGUAGUGGCUUACCAAGGCUUUGACGGGUAGCCGGCCUGAGAGGGUGACCGGCCACAUGGGGACUGAGAUACGGCCCAGAAUCCUACGGGAGGCAGCAGGGGAGAAUAUUGCACAAUGGGCGGAAGCCUGAUGCAGCAACGCCGCGUGCGGGAUGACGGCCUACGGGUGGUAAACCGCUUUCGCCUGUGAUGAAGCGUGAGUGACGGUAAUGGGUAAAGAAGCACCGGCUAACUACGUG